Long non-coding RNA from Ananas comosus (pineapple), 422 nucleotides. RefSeq lists it as uncharacterized. Lineage: Eukaryota; Viridiplantae; Streptophyta; Magnoliopsida; Poales; Bromeliaceae. The record is from RefSeq and is a predicted model, not a curated record. The transcript has 2 exons.
GCCAGGGACUAACUUACGACGCUUAUCAGUGUCAUCGUCGUCAGGAGCAUGUGUAUGCUUGCUAUAAUGCAAUGAAUCAAGCGUCAAAGAAGAAGCACAAGGAAUAAAGGAGAUUGGAUUCUUCAAACUUAUCAGAAAAUUGCACAAGUGUUACUCAUGUAAUUGAUCUGACAGAUACUGCUUCUUCCACCUCCACAAGCAAUAAGAGGAGAAGGCUGCAAUUACCCAACAUUAAUUGAGGUCCAUUGGUUUGAUUUGGUUUACCUAUUUUACUAAUAACCAUUGUUAAAUAUCCAUUCCCUCUUCUUCUUUUUUUCUCUAUAUUUUAUGACCAAAUUACUGGUUUGGGUUUUUUUUUUUAAAAAAAAAUUUUACCUUCGUUUUAAUUGAGUGCACUGUGAAAAUUGUGUUUGGCUUUGGAA